This 253-nucleotide ribosomal RNA is filed under the name uncultured bacterium. Its description in RNAcentral is "partial 16S ribosomal RNA". It matches the Rfam family "Bacterial small subunit ribosomal RNA", at positions 524 to 776 of the family's 1533-position model. The record is from RNAcentral.
UACAGAGGUCUCAAGCGUUGUUCGGAUUCAUUGGGCGUAAAGGGUGCGUAGGCGGCGCGGUAAGUCGGGCGUGAAAUCUCGGAGCUUAACUCCGAAACUGCAUUCGAUACUGCCGUGCUUGAGGACUGGAGAGGAGACUGGAAUUUACGGUGUAGCGGUGAAAUGCGUAGAUAUCGUAAGGAAGACCAGUGGCGAAGGCGGGUCUCUGGACAGUUCCUGACGCUGAGGCAUGAAGGUCAGGGGAGCAAACGGG